GAGUGGCGAACGGGUGAGUAAUGCAUCGGAACGUGCCCAAUCGUGGGGGAUAACGCAGCGAAAGCUGUGCUAAUACCGCAUACGAUCUAUGGAUGAAAGCGGGGGACCGUAAGGCCUCGCGCGAUUGGAGCGGCCGAUGUCAGAUUAGCUAGUUGGUGGGGUAAAGGCCCACCAAGGCGACGAUCUGUAGCUGGUCUGAGAGGACGACCAGCCACACUGGGACUGAGACACGGCCCAGACUCCUACGGGAGGCAGCAGUGGGGAAUUUUGGACAAUGGGCGCAAGCCUGAUCCAGCAAUGCCGCGUGCAGGAAGAAGGCCUUCGGGUUGUAAACUGCUUUUGUACGGAACGAAACGGUCCGGGUUAAUACCC
RNAcentral lists this ribosomal RNA (372 nucleotides) under uncultured bacterium. RNAcentral describes it as "bacterial SSU rRNA". It matches the Rfam family "Bacterial small subunit ribosomal RNA", at positions 93 to 468 of the family's 1533-position model. The record is from RNAcentral.